Molecule: small RNA, 213 nt
Filed under: Streptomyces sp. VN1
Lineage: Bacteria; Bacillati; Actinomycetota; Actinomycetes; Kitasatosporales; Streptomycetaceae
Description: Actinobacteria sRNA Ms_IGR-5
Rfam family: Actinobacteria sRNA Ms_IGR-5
Source: Rfam by way of RNAcentral
ACACGAGAAGGGAGGUGGUUCGGCAGAUGUAUGACAACCGGACGCGUGAGGUGACUGCGGGCUAGCGCCCGUCACCCCAUUCAGUGCGGUGCCGGAUCAGCGCGUGACAGACGCGUGCAGCCGGCCCAAUCCCAGGCAGUCACCCGACCCGCGAGUCGCCGGUACGUCCGGCCGGCUCCUCCACGGAGGAACCAGACUCGCGGGUCGUCUGCG